This 497-nucleotide ribosomal RNA is filed under the name uncultured bacterium. RNAcentral describes it as "partial 16S ribosomal RNA". It matches the Rfam family "Bacterial small subunit ribosomal RNA", at positions 28 to 507 of the family's 1533-position model. The record is from RNAcentral.
GAUGAACGCUGGCGGCGUGCCUAAUACAUGCAAGUCGAGCGAACGGACGAGAAGCUUGCUUCUCUGAUGUUAGCGGCGGACGGGUGAGUAACACGUGGAUAACCUACCUAUAAGACUGGGAUAACUUCGGGAAACCGUAGCUAAUACCGGAUAAUAUUUUGAACCGCAUGGUUCAAAAGUGAAAGACGGUCUUGCUGUCACUUAUAGAUGGAUCCGCGCUGCAUUAGCUAGUUGGUAAGGUAACGGCUUACCAAGGCAACGAUGCAUAGCCGACCUGAGAGGGGGAGCGGCCAAACUGGAAAUGAGACACGGUACAGAAUACUAAGGGAGGGAGCAGGAGGGAAACUUCCGGAAUGGGCGAAAAGCUGACGGAGGAAAGGCGGGGGAGGGAUGAAGGGCUUCGGAUCGUAAAACUCUGUUAUUAGGGAAGAAAAAAAGGGGAAGUAACUGUGCACAUCUUGACGGUACCUAAUCAGAAAGCCACGGCUAACUACGUG